UACAGAGGGUGCAAACGUUGCUCGGAAUCAUUGGGCGUAAAGCGCACGUAGGCGGCCUAGCAAGUAGGGAGUGAAAGCCCUCGGCUUAACCGAGGAAGUGCUUUCUAAACUACUAGGCUUGAAUACUGGAGAGGGUCGCGGAAUUCCCGGUGUAGAGGUGAAAUUCGUAGAUAUCGGGAGGAACACCAGUGGCGAAGGCGGCGACCUGGCUCGGUACUGACGCUCAGGCGCGAAAGCGUGGGGAGCAAACAGG
This 253-nucleotide ribosomal RNA is filed under the name uncultured bacterium. RNAcentral's name for it is "partial 16S ribosomal RNA". It matches the Rfam family "Bacterial small subunit ribosomal RNA", at positions 524 to 776 of the family's 1533-position model. The record is from RNAcentral.